This is a long non-coding RNA of Corticium candelabrum, 165 nucleotides long. RefSeq lists it as uncharacterized. The transcript is spliced from 3 exons. The record is from RefSeq and is a predicted model, not a curated record. NCBI's taxonomy places the organism in Eukaryota, Metazoa, Porifera, Homoscleromorpha, Homosclerophorida, Plakinidae.
AGGGUCCAGUAGGUCCUCCAGGUUUGCCUGGUCUUAAAGGAUUCCAAGGAAUAAAGGGAGACAAAGGAUAUCAAGGGUCACAAGGUUUAGCAGGUUUGGAUGGAAAACCGGGCCCACCAGGACAUCCGGGACCAGAUGGCUCUUCCGGGGAAAAAGGCGUGAAGG